Molecule: ribosomal RNA, 1491 nt
Filed under: Enterobacter hormaechei subsp. xiangfangensis
Lineage: Bacteria; Pseudomonadati; Pseudomonadota; Gammaproteobacteria; Enterobacterales; Enterobacteriaceae
Description: partial 23S ribosomal RNA
Rfam family: Bacterial large subunit ribosomal RNA
Source: RNAcentral
GGGUUGUGAGGUUAAGCGACUAAGCGUACACGGUGGAUGCCCUGGCAGUCAGAGGCGAUGAAGGACGUGCUAAUCUGCGAAAAGCGCCGGCGAGGUGAUAUGAACCCUUGACCCGGCGAUGUCCGAAUGGGGAAACCCAGUGUGUUCCGACACACUAUCGUUAACUGAAUACAUAGGUUAACGAGGCGAACCGGGGGAACUGAAACAUCUAAGUACCCCGAGGAAAAGAAAUCAACCGAGAUUCCCCCAGUAGCGGCGAGCGAACGGGGAGCAGCCCGGAGUCUGAAUCAGCUUGUGUGUUAGUGGAACGGUCUGGAAAGUCCGACGGUACAGGGUGAUAGUCCCGUACACGAAAAUGCACAGGUUGUGAACUCGAAGAGUAGGGCGGGACACGUGGUAUCCUGUCUGAAUAUGGGGGGACCAUCCUCCAAGGCUAAAUACUCCUGACUGACCGAUAGUGAACCAGUACCGUGAGGGAAAGGCGAAAAGAACCCCGGCGAGGGGAGUGAAAAAGAACCUGAAACCGUGUACGUACAAGCAGUGGGAGCACCUUCGGGUGUGACUGCGUACCUUUUGUAUAAUGGGUCAGCGACUUAUAUUCUGUAGCAAGGUUAACCGUAUAGGGGAGCCGAAGGGAAACCGAGUCUUAACUGGGCGUUAAGUUGCAGGGUAUAGACCCGAAACCCGGUGAUCUAGCCAUGGGCAGGUUGAAGGUUGGGUAACACUAACUGGAGGACCGAACCGACUAAUGUUGAAAAAUUAGCGGAUGACCUGUGGCUGGGGGUGAAAGGCCAAUCAAACCGGGAGAUAGCUGGUUCUCCCCGAAAGCUAUUUAGGUAGCGCCUCGUGAACUCAUCUUCGGGGGUAGAGCACUGUUUCGGCUAGGGGGCCAUCCCGGCUUACCAACCCGAUGCAAACUACGAAUACCGAAGAAUGUUAUCACGGGAGACACACGGCGGGUGCUAACGUCCGUCGUGAAGAGGGAAACAACCCAGACCGCCAGCUAAGGUCCCAAAGUCAUGGUUAAGUGGGAAACGAUGUGGGAAGGCACAGACAGCCAGGAUGUUGGCUUAGAAGCAGCCAUCAUUUAAAGAAAGCGUAAUAGCUCACUGGUCGAGUCGGCCUGCGCGGAAGAUGUAACGGGGCUAAACCAUGCACCGAAGCUGCGGCAGCGACACUAUGUGUUGUUGGGUAGGGGAGCGUUCUGUAAGCCGUUGAAGGUGUGCUGUGAGGCAUGCUGGAGGUAUCAGAAGUGCGAAUGCUGACAUAAGUAACGAUAAAGCGGGUGAAAAGCCCGCUCGCCGGAAGACCAAGGGUUCCUGUCCAACGUUAAUCGGGGCAGGGUGAGUCGACCCCUAAGGCGAGGCCGAAAGGCGUAGUCGAUGGGAAACAGGUUAAUAUUCCUGUACUUGGUGUUACUGCGAAGGGGGGACGGAGAAGGCUAUGUCAGCCGGGCGACGGUUGUCCCGGUUUAAGCAUGUAGGCGGAGGU